GUCAGCAUAUAUAGAAAUAUGUAUGUAGAGAUAGCGACUUAAAAAGCUAUCCAAUACUACUUGAAUUGCUGGAAACCCCUAAAGCUAGUAUAACUACAACAUAACACCUUAAAAUAAGAUGCAAGUGUGAAAGUGGCGAAAGCAGAAAAAAUAUACUAGAUGACAUAAGGUUAAAUCCUAAGUGUUAAGAUAAUGGGCAAUCAGCAGCCAAGACCGUAAGGUAAGGUUCAACGACUAUUCCUCUUGAGGGAAGUACACCAAAGCUGGUGGAAGUGGGUAGACCCAAACAGAUAAAGCUGUGGGAUAAGAUAUAGUCUGUGCUUAAUAGAAAUAUUAAG
RNAcentral lists this non-coding RNA (338 nucleotides) under Fusobacterium sp. CM1. Its description in RNAcentral is "Group I catalytic intron". It matches the Rfam family "Group I catalytic intron". Rfam says of the family: Group I catalytic introns are large self-splicing ribozymes. They catalyse their own excision from mRNA, tRNA and rRNA precursors in a wide range of organisms. Lineage: Bacteria; Fusobacteriati; Fusobacteriota; Fusobacteriia; Fusobacteriales; Fusobacteriaceae. The record is from RNAcentral.